CCUACGGGUGGCAGCAGUGGGGAAUAUUGGGCAAUGGGCGCAAGCCUGACCCAGCAACGCCGCGUGAAGGAAGAAGGCUUUCGGGUUGUAAACUUCUUUUUAGCGGGAAGAGCAGAAGACGGUACCUCUUGAAUAAGCCACGGCUAACUACGUGCCAGCAGCCGCGGUAAUACGAAGGUGGCAGGCGUUUUCCGGAUUUACUGGGUGUAAAGGGCGUGCAGCCGGGAAGAACAGUGAGAUGUGAAAUCCCGCGGCGCAACCCCGGAACUGCAGUUGAAACUGUUUUUCUUGAGUACCGGAGAGGUCAGCGGAAUUCCUUGUGUAGCGGUGAAAUGCGUAGAUAUAAGGAAGAACACCGGUUGCGAAGGCGGAUGACUGGACGGCAACUGACGGUGAGGCGCGAAAGCGUGGGGAGCAAACAGGAUUAGAUACCCCUGUAGUC
Molecule: ribosomal RNA, 442 nt
Filed under: uncultured bacterium
Lineage: Bacteria
Description: partial 16S ribosomal RNA
Rfam family: Bacterial small subunit ribosomal RNA
Source: RNAcentral